RNAcentral lists this ribosomal RNA (457 nucleotides) under uncultured Acidovorax sp. Its description in RNAcentral is "bacterial SSU rRNA". It matches the Rfam family "Bacterial small subunit ribosomal RNA", at positions 924 to 1382 of the family's 1533-position model. Lineage: Bacteria; Pseudomonadati; Pseudomonadota; Betaproteobacteria; Burkholderiales; Comamonadaceae. The record is from RNAcentral.
CACAAGCGGUGGAUGAUGUGUUUAAUUCGAUGCAACGCGAAAACCUUUACCCACCUUUGACAUGUACGGAAUCCUUUAGAGAUAGAGGAGUGCUCGAAAGAGAGCCGUAACACAGGUGCUGCAUGGCUGUCGUCAGCUCGUGUCGUGAGAUGUUGGGUUAAGUCCCGCAACGAGCGCAACCCUUGUCAUUAGUUGCUACAUUCAGUUGGGCACUCUAAUGAGACUGCCGGUGACAAACCGGAGGAAGGUGGGGAUGACGUCAAGUCCUCAUGGCCCUUAUAGGUGGGGCUACACACGUCAUACAAUGGAUGGUACAAAGGGUCGCCAACCCGCGAGGGGGAGCCAAUCCCAUAAAGCCAUUCGUAGUCCGGAUCGCAGUCUGCAACUCGACUGCGUGAAGUCGGAAUCGCUAGUAAUCGUGGAUCAGAAUGUCACGGUGAAUACGUUCCCGGAUCUU